GGAAGAUGAAACAUUUGAGCGGGCUCGGCAGGGAGUCAGAAGGAAGAACACGUCAGCCAAGGAGCCAGGCAUUUGAACGGCUGCAAAAAAAACAAAAGUCAGGUGUUGGCUUUCCCCAACACCCCCUUCUCCAUCCAGCAUAGGAAGGUGCUGGUUGCUGCAUCCUCUGAAUCUGCCGUUUGGCACUGUGUGACCUUGGGAAGCUAAAGGAAGUAAAGCCCUUGAAAAGAAGCAGAAAAGAUGUUCAGGUAUCUGUUAAUGGAGCUGCUGUUACACCACAAGUUUUCCAACUACACCUGCAACCCAGGUGUGGGUUGGUUGGGUGAUUUCUAAAGGUUCAUGUUUGUCUUGCUUUCCAAUAAACUCCCAGGUUGUGUUAAAGCAAAAUGUAUCUGAUUUUACUGUUUAACCCAACAUGUUUUUUUUUUUUUUUUUUUUUACAAAUUCAGCAGACAAGCAUCUAAACACUGUCUGAUGGGGAAAUAAUUCA
Long non-coding RNA from Gambusia affinis (western mosquitofish), 490 nucleotides. RefSeq lists it as uncharacterized. Lineage: Eukaryota; Metazoa; Chordata; Actinopteri; Cyprinodontiformes; Poeciliidae. The record is from RefSeq and is a predicted model, not a curated record. The transcript is spliced from 3 exons.